Balaenoptera musculus (blue whale) is the source of this 2636-nucleotide long non-coding RNA. RefSeq lists it as uncharacterized. The transcript has 4 exons. The record is from RefSeq and is a predicted model, not a curated record. Lineage: Eukaryota; Metazoa; Chordata; Mammalia; Artiodactyla; Balaenopteridae.
CUCCCACCUCCCAGGCUCGCCCGCCCCCCACUCCCCUCCCCGGGAGCACAGCGCGGCCCGGCCGAGGGGCCGGCGUCGUCUGAGCGCUCGGGGCGGCGGCGGUGGCGGCAGCGUGGGGAACCAGGACGCGAAGCCGAAGAGGAGCAUGGCGAUGCCCCGCACGAAGCCCCCGCGAGGCCGAGGCGCAAAGAAGGCAGGCGGGGGCGAGAAGGGCCGGGCCUGCACGGGGAGGGGCUGGCGGGGAGGAGCCGGGCAGGAAGAAGAGCCGGUCGGACCCCAGGGCCUCGGUCUUUUCCAGCCUGCGCAUCCGGAAGAUCCUGUCCAAGGGCAGAGGUGCCGGCGGCUCCCGUGACGCUCUGCCGGACCCUCAGGCCCUGCAGGCCGGCGAGCUGGACAGCGCCCACUCCCUGGUCCCCAGAACCCCGGACCUCAGCCUCUCGGCCGUCGAGACGGGCCCGUCCGAUACCGAGUGUGCCGACCCUUCCAAGGUUACCCUUCUUCCGGCAUCCCGGCUGGGCCGGGUUGGGGGGCCCGGCGGUGGCCGCGGAGUCCGAGACCGCGGCGGGGCGCAGCGUGGACACAGACCUCCACAGCUUUCACUUGGCCGCGGGGCAGGAGGACCUGCUCUCGGACGUCCAGCAGGCGAUCCGCGUCCAGGAGCUGCAGCAGCUGCGCCCUCCCCCUCCCCACGCCGGGGCCCUGCUGGGCCUGGACCGACCCCCGCCCGCCGGGCCCCAGACCCGCCCGCUGCCGCCGCUUGGUUGAAGUGGGCUCUAGGCAGACCGUCCUGGAUUUGAGCCCUGGAUUUUCCACUUUACUGGCAAACUAAGUACCCAGCUCUGCUGUCGUCCUGUGAGAGCCGCCGCGGACAACGUGCAGUGAAUAAGCGUGGCUGUUACUUCCUAACAAGACUUCAUUUACAAACAUGGCAGCGGCUGCAGUUUGCUGGCCCCUGGUCUAUACUUAGGAGCUGUCUCGAAGAAAAGAUAUUGCUGUCAGUGAUGUGAUGUGGAAUCUCACGCUUUUACUGAGCCAGCAUCUGUCCUCAGCAUCUGUCCAAGUGCAGCACCUCAGCUUUCCUUUGGGAACUACCUCUCACCUGCUUCCUGUCCAAACAGUUUCAGGGGGCUGAUCCCACGUUCCACCCACCUGGAAGAUGGGUGUAUAAUCCAUGUCUAGCCAAUCCCAUUUUCCAUCCUGUGCUUGCUGUGACCGGUUCAAGGAUGAGAACGUGACCCAAGCCAGGCCAAAGGCAUUCAAAGUCAUGAGUUUUCACGGAGCUUAGGGAAGGAGAAAACCUUCCAGGAAGAAUGGAGAUUGAGUGGGUUUCAUCCUGGAGUUACUGGAGGCCCUAGAUGCAGUGAGAAAGACUGUGCCUAUGAUUGGGACCACCCAAGGCACUCAGCAGGACUGAUGGUUGGAGAGGGACCAGGUCACACUGUGAGAAUGUGAGCCCUUGGGCCUGAUACCUCCAACCCCACUCUUCAACUUGUCUCUUCUUUUCGUCUGCAGUGAACUUCCUCUGCGCUCGACCACGUGCUCUGCUCCAGUACUGGCACGAACACGGGCAGCGCUGGACACACUAAGGACAGCAUGAUCCUGAACUUGAAAUAUGACCACACGUGAUUUUAGCCUUAACUGACAGCCUCAGUCCUACCCUCUUGUGAGCUGAGACUCACAGCAUUCAUCAACGUGAUCAUUUAAAGGCAAACUGCAUGGAAAACAUUUUCUCCACUUAGAUGAGAGCCUCAGAGCGACCCAUCUUUUGUACAAAAUUAAGGUAACCAAACUCCCUUUUCUCUGGUGCCAUCUGGUGGAAAGGAGAGCAAACCUCAUCUGUACCUUCCACAAAAAAAAACCACGGUUCUUUUCAGUGAAGCCUCUCUUUUAUUCUGGGGCUACUGUGAAGCAGCCGUUUACUUUCUUUAGCGCCGUCUUCAAACUAAAUUCUUCAGCCUACAGGUUAGAUAAGAAAGAUCUGCUCUUUUCUCUUGCUCCGCUCCAAUUCCUUCUUUAAAAAUUUUGUAAUCAGAUGAUGCUUCUUCCUCAUGAGACUAUUUUGCAACCGCAAUCCACAUUCAUCUGCAUCUCAAACCCUCCAGAGUAAACAAUUCCAACAGUUGAUUUCUGUAUUAAACAUUGUCAUUUGCUUUUACAUAAACUAUGACAGCACGCAUAUCUCCUUUAAAGAACUUUUUGAAUAUAACAUUGUCACAUAAAUAUAGAGUGGAAAUUACAAAUAGUUCCCUCUUCUAAGAACUGGAUGAGAUAGUAAAAAAGAAAACAUACAGUAUCUUACCAAGAGCCAAUAAAAUAGGCUAGAUUUUUCAGACAUUAAAGAAAAAUACCAAAAAAAACCCCAGGAUAUUAAAAAAGCAAAAAACCCCAUAGUAACAGGAUUAUUAAUCCCCCAAUUUGCAAUACUGAGUUCCUUCAUCCAUUGGCGGUAAAAUUACCCUGGGAAAUUCCAACUGUACUCACUAAAAAGAAGUCAAUUCCCGAUGGUUUUCCAUUAGUGUUUCAUGUGGCUCCGAUUCCAUUCGAGCUUUAUAACCUGCUAUAACGGACAGCUUUUUAACUGUUUCCAAGUCUGCAUUAGCAGAGAGUGGAAAUAAAGUCAAAGGCGCUCCCUCAGA